AAAGGACUUAAAAAUUAAUAUCUAUUUAUUGUUGUUCCCCCUGCUUAAAGCAAAUGAUGCAUAACUAUCUCUGUCUAGCACAAUUCCAUAGCUAGACAGAGAUGCUUGGCCUCAAACAU
RNAcentral lists this small nucleolar RNA (119 nucleotides) under Myotis lucifugus (little brown bat). RNAcentral's name for it is "Small nucleolar RNA SNORA63 (ENSMLUG00000018252.1)". Lineage: Eukaryota; Metazoa; Chordata; Mammalia; Chiroptera; Vespertilionidae. The record is from RNAcentral.